CGUAGGGACCAAGCGUUGUUCGGAUUUACUGGGCGUAAAGGGCGCGUAGGCGGCAAUUCAAGUCAUCUGUGAAAUCUCCGGGCUUAACCCGGAACGGCCAGGUGAUACUGCUUUGCUAGAGUGCGGAAGGGGCAAUCGGAAUUCUUGGUGUAGCGGUGAAAUGCGUAGAUAUCAAGAGGAACACCUGAGGUGAAGACGGGUUGCUGGGCCGACACUGACGCUGACAGCGCGAAAGCCAGGGGAGCAAACGGGAUUAGAUACCCCGGUAGUCCUGGCCCUAAACGAUGAAUACUUGGUGUCUGGAGUUAUUAGUGCUCCGGGUGCCGUCGCUAACGUUUUUAGUAUUCCGCCUGGGGAGUACGCUCGCAAGAGUG
This 374-nucleotide ribosomal RNA is filed under the name uncultured organism. Its description in RNAcentral is "bacterial SSU rRNA". It matches the Rfam family "Bacterial small subunit ribosomal RNA", at positions 526 to 896 of the family's 1533-position model. The record is from RNAcentral.